GAUGAACGCUGGCGGCGUGCCUAAUACAUGCAAGUCGAACGAAACUUCUUUAUCACCGAGUGCUUGCACUCACCGAUAAAGAGUUGAGUGGCGAACGGGUGAGUAACACGUGGGCAACCUGCCCAAAAGAGGGGGAUAACACUUGGAAACAGGUGCUAAUACCGCAUAACCAUAGUUACCGCAUGGUAACUAUGUAAAAGGUGGCUAUACUACCGCUUUUGGAUGGGCCCGCGGCGCAUUAGCUAGUUGGUAGGGUAAAGGCUUACCAAGGCAAUGAUGCGUAGCCGAAUUGAGAGGUUGAUCGGCCACAUUGGGACUGAGACACGGCCCAAACUCCUACGGGAGGCAGCAGUAGGGAAUCUUCCACAAAGGGCGAAAGCCUGAUGGAGCAACGCCGCGUGGGUGAAGAAGGUCUUCGGAUCGUAAAACCCUGUUGUUAGAGAAGAAAGUGCGUGAGAGUAACUGUUCACGUUUCGUCGGUAUCUAACCAGAAAGCCACGGCUAACUACGUG
This 512-nucleotide ribosomal RNA is filed under the name uncultured bacterium. RNAcentral describes it as "partial 16S ribosomal RNA". It matches the Rfam family "Bacterial small subunit ribosomal RNA", at positions 28 to 507 of the family's 1533-position model. The record is from RNAcentral.